CAAAAAAUCGUGUGACAUGAAAAGAUUUUGUGUAAGCAGUUGGAAAAAAGAGUAAAAUGUUUGGUGGAGCUCUGCUUGUAGUUCCUGCUGAUGUCCACCAGAGGGCGCCAUGUAACCACUGAACUAUAUGUGGUAAUGCUCUCUGGGCGGUUCCUCUUGUUUCCUGUUCAACGUUUACUUUCACUUUCCAGAGGCUGAUGUGACGCAGCUUUUUCUCUCUGUGUGGAGCUCCAGCUGAAGGACCCAUCAGAGACCAGACCCUGCUGAACCUGAACCUGAACCCAGCUGUGUGUCCAUGAAGAGUCACCGGUCCAUGGAGACACUAGUUUAAAAAAGACCUGUAAGGGAGAGGAGAAUAGAAAUGGAGGAGAGGCUGCUUGAACUGGAGGAGAGAGGAUUGAUGGAGAGACUUGAAUGGCAGAAGGAGAGAAUAACAAUGGAAAAGGAAAUUGAAAUGUUAAGAAGAAGAUUGAGAGAGGACCAGGAGAGCUCAGAGGUUCCCAGUGGUCAGUCUGCCCAGCAGCAUCAAACACACCUGGACUCUAUAUUUAUGGUCUGUACAUGUACAUCAACUACUUUUACAUCUAUUCUGUUCACAAUCAUCUCCAUGCUGCACUU
This 618-nucleotide long non-coding RNA is filed under the name Sander lucioperca (pikeperch). RNAcentral describes it as "lncRNA (ENSSLUG00000003793.1)". Lineage: Eukaryota; Metazoa; Chordata; Actinopteri; Perciformes; Percidae. The record is from RNAcentral.